UAAUAGUGUAUAUUAAAGUUGUUGCAGUUAAAAAGCUCGUAGUUGAAUGUUGGUGUCGAACGAGCGGUCAGCUUCGGCUGUACUACUCUCUCGACUCCUUCCUUCUGUGGACUACGUCGCACUUUACUGUGUGGCGCUAGGACGCAGAUCGUUUACUGUGAAAAAAUUAGAGUGUUCAAAGCAGGCCGUACGCUUGAAUACAUUAGCAUGGAAUAAUGGAAUAGGACGUCGGGCCUAUUUUGUUGGUUCUAGGACCGUCGUAAUGAUUAAUAGGGACAGUUGGGGCCGUUUAUAUUCCGUAGUCAGAGGUGAAAUUCUUGGAUUUACGGAAGAUAAACUACUGCGAAAGCAUUCGGCAAGGAUGUUUUCGUUAA
RNAcentral lists this ribosomal RNA (374 nucleotides) under uncultured eukaryote. RNAcentral describes it as "partial 18S ribosomal RNA". It matches the Rfam family "Eukaryotic small subunit ribosomal RNA", at positions 592 to 976 of the family's 1831-position model. The record is from RNAcentral.